This 776-nucleotide ribosomal RNA is filed under the name uncultured Neocallimastigales. Its description in RNAcentral is "partial large subunit ribosomal RNA". It matches the Rfam family "Eukaryotic large subunit ribosomal RNA", at positions 26 to 635 of the family's 3401-position model. The record is from RNAcentral. Lineage: Eukaryota; Fungi; Neocallimastigomycota; Neocallimastigomycetes; Neocallimastigales.
CGCAUCUGUGCAUGCAGCAUAUCAAUAAGCGGAGGAAAAGAAACUAACAAGGAUUCCCCUAGUAACGGCGAGUGAAGCGGGAAGAGCUCAAAUUUGAAAUCUUAAAGGGUUUCCCUUUACGAAUUGUAGUUUAAAGAAGUGCUUUUCUGUUGAGGUUUUGGUAAAAGUUCUUUGGAAUAGGACAUCAUAGAGGGUGAGAAUCCCGUAUUUGACCUUUACUUUCAACUUUGUGAUACACUUUCAAAGAGUCGGAUUGCUUGGGAAUGCAGUCCAAAAUGGGUGGUAAAUUUCAUCUAAAGCUAAACUAUUGGCGAGAGACCGAUAGCGAACAAGUACCGUGAGGGAAAGAUGAAAAGAACUUUGAAAAGAGAGUUAAACAGUACGUGAAAUUGUCAAAAGGGAAGCGUUUGACACCAGUGUUGUUUUUCUGAAAAUCAAUUAAAGAACUGUUUAUGCUAAGCUGUUUAGACUUUAUCAGCUAACUGUUUAGUUUUGAGCUUUUCUUUAAUGCACUUUUCAGUUAACAAGUCAACAUCAAUUUCUUUUGCUGUAAAAAAGCUUGAGGAAGGUGGCUUGAGAUUCGUCUUAAGUGUUUAUAGCCUCUUGCCUAUGCAGUCGGAGAGAUUGAGGUCUGCAGCGUAGAUCCUUCGGGGCUAAAUGCAUUUGUGCUAAGUUAUAGCAUUUUAUAGACAACUUGUUGACUAUGAUUUGUCUUGUAGCUUACUCGCUUAUGUUAUUUUACCUACGCUUAGGAUGUUGAACGCGCACAGAGUCUC